CAGCAAAGAAAAUCAUGCACAAUGCGCCUCAUGAAGACGUCCAGGUCUGGCCUGUGGGCACCUUUUCGAGACCAGUUAUUUCAUACCUGAGCCAUGGACGAUGAUCCUGUUCUGAAACACCUUCGGGCCUCUAUGAAGAAACUAACAAGGAAGCAUGGGGACCUGCCACCCCCAGAAACUGAGGAAAUCCCUCUUCAUGCUGAAAGAGCUCACCAACAAAUUCAGGCAGCCUGUGAAACGUUUGAUGUCCGAAGCCAACAGCACAUUCAGAUCCUCAAGCUCUACACCUCCAAUGUGACCUGGGGCUUGCACCACUUCAGGCUCGUGCAGGACUCACAGCCUUUGGACCUCAGCUAAGGGACCUGCUUCUCUGUAGCACAUGGGGCUUGUUUGUGUUGGGGUCUGAGCCCUGAGCUCAUGGUCAAGGAGAACCCCAGGUCCUUCUGAACAGAGACAGCUGGCCUCGGGGCCUCCCUCUCACUGCAUGCAAGAGCCUGUUAGGGCACAAGACUCAAGGCGCUGAGGGAGGCUGUUUCAGGAGGAAGCCGCAGAAGGAUGGUGGAGAGAGAAAGGGACAGCAUCCGCCGAGGGCCUACUGUGUGCCAGGCACUGUCCAGGGCUCCUGGCCCACAUGGGCUAAGUGAGCCUGGACACUCCUCCUGGGAGAAAGGCACAGAUGGAGAAAUUGCAGUUCAGGGAGGUGAAGCAAGCUGCUAGCCUGUGGCCACUUUGGGAUCUGAGCGCCAGCCUUCUAGCCACAAAGGCAGCCAAGGGUCAUGAAGAAGGCAUCACAGAGGCGAUUCCAGGCUGUAGUGGUGAACUCUCCACUCUGCACCCCCAGGUGCUGUGCCCUGUGCCCUGAUUAGAUAGUCCUGAAGGUUUCUACAUGUUUAAGAUAUCCCUAAUGUCAACGAUGCUCUCCUGUGGAUCCCAAGCUGUGGAGAUGUCCUGGGACUUUCCAUUUCAGGUUCCUAAAUUGAAUUUCCCAACACCUAGAAGCAACCCAGCUGCCCUGUAUCAGACCAAGGACCUUUAUUUGUGAUUCAGAAACAGUGGAAUAAAAGGAAAGGAAAGAAAACCCCAACAGCCACCUCAGCAGGAUGCCCCAAGGCCCUCAGCAGCAUGCACGCCAAUAACAUGUUCACCACGAGGCUCAAAUCUUGGCAGAAGCUACAGAGUCCAACAUCCAGAGUACAGCAAGUGGAAGUUCACCAACAGCCUCACGUUCCUGGAGGUGCUGGAGGAGUUUCCAUCCCUGCGGGUGUCUGCUGGCUUCCUGCUCUCCCAGCUCCCCAUUCUGAAACCCAGGUUCUACUCCACGAGCUCCUCCCGGGAUCACAUGCCCAUGGAGAUCCACCUGACUGUGGCCGUG
This 1372-nucleotide long non-coding RNA is filed under the name Pan troglodytes (chimpanzee). Its description in RNAcentral is "long non-coding RNA NONPTRT006786". The record is from RNAcentral. Lineage: Eukaryota; Metazoa; Chordata; Mammalia; Primates; Hominidae.